ACCCGCUGAACUUAAGCAUAUCAAUAAGCGGAGGAAAAGAAACCAACAGGGAUUGCCUUAGUAACGGCGAGUGAAGCGGCAAAAGCUCAGAUUUGAAAUCUGGCGUCUUCGACGUCCGAGUUGUAAUCUGUAGAGAAGUAUUCGAGUGUGGAUAUGGCUUAAGUUCCUUGGAACAGGACGUCAAAGAGGGUGAGAACCCCGUAUACGGCCUCUGUCUUAUGCUCAUGUGAAUCUUCUUCAACGAGUCGAGUUGUUUGGGAAUGCAGCUCUAAAUGGGUGGUAAACUCCAUCUAAAGCUAAAUACUGGCAAGAGACCGAUAGCGCACAAGUAGAGUGAUCGAAAGAUGAAAAGAACUCCGAACAGAGAGUCAAACAGUACGUGAAAUUGUUGAAAGGGAAGCACUUGCUACCAGACUCGCCUACAGUUGAUCAACCACUGUCACAGGCAGCGGUGCACUCGGCUGUGGUGCGGGCCAGCACCAGUUGUGUUGGUGGGAUAAAGACAGCAGGCAUGUAGCUCCUUUUGGAGUGUUAUAGCCUGUUGUGUAAUACCAUCUAACGCGACUGAGGACCGCGCUCGGUGUAUUCCGAGCUAGGGUGCUGGCAUAAUGGCUGU
RNAcentral lists this ribosomal RNA (616 nucleotides) under uncultured fungus. RNAcentral's name for it is "eukaryotic LSU rRNA". It matches the Rfam family "Eukaryotic large subunit ribosomal RNA", at positions 23 to 641 of the family's 3401-position model. Lineage: Eukaryota; Fungi. The record is from RNAcentral.